Non-coding RNA from Mus musculus (house mouse), 77 nucleotides. NCBI's taxonomy places the organism in Eukaryota, Metazoa, Chordata, Mammalia, Rodentia, Muridae. The record is from Rfam.
UGGUGGCCGGGUCUGCUGAGUCCGCAGCACUCAGACUAUGUGCACCUCUGCAGCAGGUGCAGGCCCAGUUGUCACCU